Long non-coding RNA from Carassius carassius (crucian carp), 698 nucleotides. RefSeq lists it as uncharacterized. The record is from RefSeq and is a predicted model, not a curated record. The transcript has 4 exons. NCBI's taxonomy places the organism in Eukaryota, Metazoa, Chordata, Actinopteri, Cypriniformes, Cyprinidae.
CGCCGUUAAACUGGGAAGAAGACGAAUAUGACGGCUUGCUGUGAGUUACAAUGGAACAGAUUAUGUUUAUCUGCUGUAGAGUGACUGAUGAAGGAAUGCUGCCAUCAAAGGAUUUGUGUUAUGAAAAUGUCUGCAGACUGGUGUGUGCACUGAGGAUGGAGAAGUCCACUGCAGCAUCCGGAAAUGGUCCAGAGAUAUGGAUGAGAUGCUCCAUCACUCCAGCUCUCAUCAGGACCAGAUGCUGCUGUGGUCUCUUCCUCAUCGGUGGCCCCAGAGCAGCGAGAGCAUCUAGAGAAAGACCAAAAGACACUGAGGAUUUGAUUUUGGUAAAGUUUGUUCUGCUGGUUUCUGUUUAUACAAUGAAGGCUGACUUUCAGAAGCUUCAAAAGCAUCAUCAAAAAAUGUGAUGGAGCUUUUAUCUGAAGUCAUUGACAGUGCUCUUAUUACAGGGGCCUACAAUCCUCUGAUCCACCUGGAGAAAAGAGCCGUGCUCACAGACAUACUGCUGGUUUUGAACCAGUUCAGUGGUUUAGCCCACUACAAAAAUAAUAAAUUAAUGCAUGUACUUAUGGCACCUUUAAAGGUAGUGGUGCUCGUGGAGAGCAGGCACACGAUUGUUUGGAGCAGACACAGCAGCAGUCAGAUUGUCCUGCACGUGUUCUUCUGCUCUCACUUCAAGGUUGUGUGGUUGAGAGAGC